CCAAACGGGGUCUUGACUCCUCCAGGUUCGAUUGUGGUGUGGAAGCAGGGGAAAACGUGGAGGAAAUAAGACGAUAGGGAUGGGGACUUAACUGACAUCAUGUUCCCUUGUUUUGGUUGUAGGUGUCCUUUCAUCCCUAUUCACGUCCAAGAUUUAAGGGAUUCGAUGCUCUUGUUCAUUGCAUCAUGUGUCUCAACGGCAGCCUCUAGCGCGCCGCCGGCAUUUUGAUGGAGGAGGCAUGCCGGCACAAUCAUCUUGUCUUGGAUUGAAAGGUUAUCACCUCACAGGUGUCAAUUAUCUACCACCGGAAAUCCAUUGAUAUUUCUUCACCCUGAUCCCACCAUUAAUAAUUUGAAGGUACAAAUUAAUGCAAAGGAUUCAAGUCACUAGAAGAAGAAGGAAGACUAGAGCAAGUCUAGUUUCAUUCAUUAAUUAAUUCACCUUUGCUUGAUGUCAACCAGCUGGCCAAGGUAAUGGAAUUUUUUUUCAAUUCCUCUGGCAGGACACCCUCCCCCUCGAAAUCCAAUCGCUGAAGCAAGCGUAAAAGAAAGAAACCCGCCAGCAGCGGAUGCUUAUCCAUAACCAUAACUAGGUCAUGACUAUAAAAACCCACCCACUUGCAUGGUUUGGUAGUCUGUUGGGGAUAAGAGAUAAACAUGGGGGAUUUGGUAGAACUAAGUGCUCUUUACGCUGUCAUCAUAGUCUUAUUAUAAUGUGUCUUUAUCUUAAAGUUGUGCUUAGUAAUAUAUAUGCUUCCUUCCCUCUCACAAUUCACAAAAAUAAUGUGGGAUUCGUUUUUUUUUUGUUUUUUUUAAUAAAAGAUUGUUCCCAUCUAAUCACACAUCCCUUUUUGCCUGGUUUACAGGGGGCCAACCUGGUCCUCCCUCCCACAUUUCUUAUUAAUUACUCCAACUAAUUAAACAUUAUGUUACAUAAAAUUAGCAUUUUUUUUUUUUAGCAAUGAUUUUGAUGUUUGCA
Long non-coding RNA from Diospyros lotus (date-plum), 978 nucleotides. RefSeq lists it as uncharacterized. The transcript has 3 exons. Lineage: Eukaryota; Viridiplantae; Streptophyta; Magnoliopsida; Ericales; Ebenaceae. The record is from RefSeq and is a predicted model, not a curated record.